CAUGUGAGAACGACAUCAACCGGUCCAUUCUUCAUUUUGGCUAUUUUACCAAAUUAAUGAUGCAAAUGAUUAUCUAUCCCUUGCGAGGGAUCUAGUCCAGGGGAUCUAGUCCAGAGAUCUAGUCCAGGAGUUCUGAAGACUAGGUGAAUUAAUCAAGUCCAGGAGACUAGGCCUGGGAGAAAUUUGGCAUGAUGUAAGGAGUAAUAAAGAAACAAGCUGAA
Long non-coding RNA from Macrobrachium nipponense, 221 nucleotides. RefSeq lists it as uncharacterized. NCBI's taxonomy places the organism in Eukaryota, Metazoa, Arthropoda, Malacostraca, Decapoda, Palaemonidae. The transcript is spliced from 2 exons. The record is from RefSeq and is a predicted model, not a curated record.